CAGCAGCCGCGGGAAAACAGAGGGUGCGAGCGUUAAUCGGAUUUACUGGGCGUAAAGCGUGCGUAGGCGGCUUCUUAAGUCGGAUGUGAAAUCCCUGAGCUUAACUUAGGAAUUGCAUUCGAUACUGGGAAGCUAGAGUAUGGGAGAGGAUGGUAGAAUUCCAGGUGUAGCGGUGAAAUGCGUAGAGAUCUGGAGGAAUACCGAUGGCGAAGGCAGCCAUCUGGCCUAAUACUGACGCUGAGGUACGAAAGCAUGGGGAGCAAACAGGAUUAGAUACCCCCGUAGUCCCUGUCUCUUAUAC
Molecule: ribosomal RNA, 301 nt
Filed under: uncultured bacterium
Lineage: Bacteria
Description: partial 16S ribosomal RNA
Rfam family: Bacterial small subunit ribosomal RNA
Source: RNAcentral